RNAcentral lists this unclassified non-coding RNA (223 nucleotides) under uncultured fungus. RNAcentral's name for it is "partial contains 5.8S ribosomal RNA, internal transcribed spacer 2, and large subunit ribosomal RNA". Lineage: Eukaryota; Fungi. The record is from RNAcentral.
AACGCACAUUGCGCCUCCCGUAACUGUGAGGCAUGCCUGUCUGAGCGUCAUUUAAACCAAUAAACCCAUGUUUGGGUUUGUGUUGGGCAUCGCCGAGUCUGGCGCAGCCUCGAAGGAAUCUGUCUGGCGAGCGGAUGAGAUCCCAGUAGGGCCGACCGUGAAGCCUGGACAAUGAAACUCUUGAGUUGACCUCAGAUCAGGUAGGACUACCGCCUGAACUUAA